This 506-nucleotide ribosomal RNA is filed under the name uncultured bacterium. RNAcentral describes it as "partial 16S ribosomal RNA". It matches the Rfam family "Bacterial small subunit ribosomal RNA", at positions 29 to 523 of the family's 1533-position model. The record is from RNAcentral.
AGUGAACGCUGGCGGUAGGCCUAACACAUGCAAGUCGAACGGCAGCACAGGAGAGCUUGCUCUCUGGGUGGCGAGUGGCGGACGGGUGAGGAAUACAUCGGAAUCUACUCUGUCGUGGGGGAUAACGUAGGGAAACUUACGCUAAUACCGCAUACGACCUACGGGUGAAAGCAGGGGACCUUCGGGCCUUGCGCGAAUGAAUGAGCCGAUGUCGGAUUAGCUAGUUGGCGGGGUAAAGGCCCACCAAGGCGACGAUCCGUAGCUGGUCUGAGAGGAGGAUCAGCCACACUUGAACUGAGACACGGUCCAGACUCCUACGGGAGGCAGCAGUGGGGAAUAUUGGACAAUGGGCGCAAGCCUGAUCCAGCCAUACCGCGUGGGUGAAGAAGGCCUUCGGGUUGUAAAGCCCUUUUGUUGGGAAAGAAAUCCAGCUGGCUAAUACCCGGUUGGGAUGACGGUACCCAAAGAAUAAGCACCGGCUAACUUCGUGCCAGCCGCCGCCGUAA